AGCCCACCAAGGCGACGAUCAGUAGCCGACCUGAGAGGGUGACCGGCCACAUUGGGACUGAGACACGGCCCAAACUCCUACGGGAGGCAGCAGUGGGGAAUAUUGCACAAUGGGGGAAACCCUGAUGCAGCAACGCCGCGUGAAGGAAGACGGUUUUCGGAUUGUAAACUUCUAUCAAUAGGGAAGAAAAAAAUGACGGUACCUAAAUAAGAAGCCCCGGCUAACUACGUGCCAGCAGCCGCGGUAAUACGUAGGGGGCAAGCGUUAUCCGGAAUUACUGGGUGUAAAGGGAGAGUAGGCGGCAAGGUAAGCGAUAUGUGAAAGCCUUAGGCUUAACCUGAGGAUUGCAUAACGAACUAUCUAGCUAGAGUACAGGAGAGGAAAGCGGAAUUCUUAGUGUAGCGGUGAAAUGCGUAGAUAUUAGGAAGAACACCAGUGGCGAAGGCGGCUUUCUGGACUGAAACUGACGCUGAGGCUCGAAAGCGUGGGGAGCGAACAGGAUUAGAUACCCUGGUAGUCCACGCUGUAAACGAUGAGUGCUAGGUGUCGGGGAGGAAUCCUCG
RNAcentral lists this ribosomal RNA (563 nucleotides) under uncultured bacterium. RNAcentral's name for it is "bacterial SSU rRNA". It matches the Rfam family "Bacterial small subunit ribosomal RNA", at positions 262 to 842 of the family's 1533-position model. The record is from RNAcentral.